GGCGGCGUACCCAAAUGGCUAAGGGGACGGUCUGCAAAACCGUUAUCUACCGGUUCAAUUCCGGUCGCCGCCU
This 73-nucleotide transfer RNA is filed under the name bacterium. RNAcentral describes it as "tRNA-Cys". It matches the Rfam family "tRNA". Rfam says of the family: Transfer RNA (tRNA) molecules are approximately 80 nucleotides in length. Their secondary structure includes four short double-helical elements and three loops (D, anti-codon, and T loops). The record is from RNAcentral. RNAcentral also lists the same sequence under 1 other name.